RNAcentral lists this transfer RNA (72 nucleotides) under Candidatus Limnocylindria bacterium. RNAcentral's name for it is "tRNA-Ala". It matches the Rfam family "tRNA". From Rfam's summary of the family: Transfer RNA (tRNA) molecules are approximately 80 nucleotides in length. Their secondary structure includes four short double-helical elements and three loops (D, anti-codon, and T loops). Lineage: Bacteria; Bacillati; Chloroflexota; Candidatus Limnocylindria. The record is from RNAcentral.
GGGCCUGUGGCGCAGUGGUAGCGCACUUGACUGGCAGUCAAGGGGUCAAGGGUUCGAAUCCCUUCAGGUCCA